Molecule: long non-coding RNA, 528 nt
Organism: Daphnia magna
Lineage: Eukaryota; Metazoa; Arthropoda; Branchiopoda; Diplostraca; Daphniidae
Exons: 2
Source: RefSeq, a predicted model, not a curated record
AUUUUUCAUAGUCUUCAAAUUUAAGUUUCUCUAGUUGGCAUGGCAAAACAGUUAAAUCGUAAAAACUCUGUGGUAUCUAUUGACAGUAGAAAGAUAUUUCUUCGAUUGUGGUUUUCCCCAUUGAGUAAGGAGUAUAUACAGUAAUUUUUCCUGUUAUUUAUUGGACAAAUGGUGUGGAUGAUAGUGUGACUACAACGUCAAUAACAGUUGCUGGAAAAGAAGGGAGCCAUACAGCAAGCACCUGGUGUGGAUGUCAAUGUUGCUACAACUUCACUGAUACAGCAGUUGAUGGUCAAGAAAACUACGAGCAAGUCUACAGCAAGUCUACACCACACAUUAUCUUAAUAUAUUUAAGGUGAUUCCUUUCCUUUGUCCUCAUCUGCAUGUUUAUAUUGUACGUUAUGCUAUAUUUUAGCUUAAAAUUUUGAAAAAUGUCAAACUUACAAAAGCGUAAGUUGAAAAAUUUGGUCGGACCAAGACAGAGAGCACGCUGGGUCAGGGAAUUUUUAGAUACAAAUUUUACUUUAA